GGGCGAGUGGCGCAGUUGGUAGCGUACUUGAUCGACAUUCAAGAGGUCGCGGGUUCAAGUCCCGCUUCGCCCA
RNAcentral lists this transfer RNA (73 nucleotides) under Heliobacteriaceae bacterium. RNAcentral's name for it is "tRNA-Val". It matches the Rfam family "tRNA". From Rfam's summary of the family: Transfer RNA (tRNA) molecules are approximately 80 nucleotides in length. Their secondary structure includes four short double-helical elements and three loops (D, anti-codon, and T loops). The record is from RNAcentral. Lineage: Bacteria; Bacillati; Bacillota; Clostridia; Eubacteriales; Heliobacteriaceae.